CUUUCAUUCUCUGAUUCAGGUGACAAGUUAUUGGGAUUUGGGUUGGAAAGAAAUUUAAAUUGAGUUAUCUUGUUGUCUCCCCUUGAGCCUUUUGUUAUUUAUAUAUUGUAUGUAUAAAAUCAUUACAUAGAUUUUUUAAGCUUAUGGGGCAAUGACCACAGUAAGAAAUUGAUUUUUACAUUGUGAUAUAACACACACACACACCUAAAAGCUCUACAAAAAAUAUAUUCUUACUAUAUAUGACUCACUUCAAUAUUUUCAUUCUGUUCCAUUUUAUUCUAAAUUUGUCUGGACUAGAUGUUCUGGCUGUGGCUCAGCAGGUUAAGAACUCAAUGUAGUGUCCAUGAGGAUGCGAAUCCAAUUCCUGACUUUGCUCAGUGGGUUAAGGACCCAGCUGCAGUGUAGGUGGCAGAUGUGGCUAGGACCCAGUAUUGCUGUGACUAUGAUGUAGGCUGGCAGCUAUAGUUCCAAUUUGACCCCUGGCCCAGUAAUUUCCAUAUGCUCACAUGUGUGGCCAUAAAAAAAAAUUUUAGUUAAAAAAUGAUUUUUAAAAAUAAACUAUAGUUUUUUGUUAUUAUCUUUUUUUUUUUUUGUCUUUUUAGGGCUGCACCUGCGGCAUAUGGAGGUUCCCAGGCUAGGGGUCUAAUUCUAGCUGUAGCUGCUGGCCACAGCAACACCAGAUCGGAUGUGCAUCUGCGACAUACACCACAGCUCAUGACAAAGCCAGCUCCUUAACCCACUGAGCAAGGCCAGGGAUCAAACCCACAUCCUCAUGUUUCCUAGUCAGAUUUGUUUCUGCUGCACCACGAUGGGAACUCUAAAAAAUUCUUUAAACUAGUCUAGACUAUUCAAAAUGCCUUUUGCUGUCCAUUAAAUUAAUUUCACAACCCAUUAAAGGAAUAUGACCCACAAUUUGGAAAAAUAUAUUACUUAAACUGUGGUUUAAAGGACAGUUUAGAGUAUUCUGAUGAAAUACAAAGUGUAACUAAAAAGUGAAUUUAAUUAGCAUUUUCCAAGAUUUUUUUUUCCUGUGGGAUCAUUAAUAUUGCUCAUCCAGUUCUUUGGUGGAAUUAUAAUGUACCCACAAUUUCACACUUUCCUUUUCCAAUUCUGAUGAUAAGUUGUAAAAACUGUAUAAUUAUAUCAGACUCCUUUCUACAUCCUCACAGAGACAGAGUCUUAGGUAGCUUCUUCCAAAGUGUUUCACCCAUGAAGCCUGGCAAGGUAGAGGGACAUGGUGCCACUUGGCUAUGGCAGUGGUGUGUGUAUACAUAAAGAAUCCACACUGAAAAUGGCAGCCAAGGAAAUGCCAGAGCUGGACCAGAGCAUCUAUCUGGAACCAGCACCAGAGAAAAUGACAGAACCAGGUAAAAGCCAAGUAAGGCAAAAUCUGAAAGUCAAGAACAGAGGGAGAGGGAGCAGGCAUAGCGCAAUCCCCAAACUAAAGAGUAAAAAGCCAUAGGGGCUCCUGAUCCUUUCAUCAUGGCCUUGUUUAGGAGCAUCCUGCAAACACUUAAAAGGGAAGCUCCAAAUCUGUUACCCAGAGAAUCACACUGAAGGAAACCUUCAGACUCACUCAUAAAAAUUAAUCCAUGGGCAAUUUUCCUUUAAAACUCUGAUAUUAAGUCAAAGUUGUCUGUGUUUCUUCACCUAUAUUAUCUAGUGGCAAAUGCCAGAAAUCUUAUCAUUUCAUUCAUAAGUACAUCAGUAUGUAUAAAAAAUUAUUUUUAAAAACAAGACCAAAGUUACAUCACACUUAAAAAGUUUUAGUAAUGAUGUCUUAAUGCCAUUCAGUAUCCAAUUAGUAUCCACAUUUCCCCAACUGCCCCAUAAUUUUUGUUUGCUUUUACAUUGUGCUUUUUCUAAUCAGGGUCCAAAUAGUCAGGACCCAUGCAUUUUAAUUGGUUGAUUUGUCUCAUUUUCAUUUGUAAGUCCCCCCUUUUUUUGAGCGAUAACAAGAUAAAAUCCAAAACCUCUUUAAAUAGUUGUGUCUUUCCAAAAUAUUGAGUGUUUAUUUCGACUUGUUUGUCAGCUAAGAAAAAUAGCUGCAGGCCUCCUCUGCAGGAAUUAGGGGGAAGAAAGCUUGCUUUAGGUAACAAGUUACCAAGGGCGAUGAAAAUGGCGCCUCCCUCACUCUGCUCUGUCCUUCCUGAAAUCUCCUGCAUUAAACUCCCCAAAGGCCUCUUUUAAAACACGGCUGCAUUAAAUUCCCAAGUAGCUCACAUUCUAUAAACAGGAAAUAUUAAUCUCUGAUAUUAAUCUUCCAGUUCUUUGCCAGAACAAUGUUUAUAAAUGUUGGCUCAUGGGGAUGACAAGCCUGGUGACUCAUCAAAGGAUCAGUUCUCUUCAGCAGAGUUUUCAUGUUGAGUGCAUUUCGAUAUCUUUCAAUUCUUAGAAAAUCCAAGUGUUUAUUACUUUUUGUGGGAUGGCACAUGCCAGAAUAGAAUGCUAGGUUUUCUAUUUCCAGGAGGAGUUUUCUUACAUUCACCUGAAUAAAUUUUCCUGUCACUAUUCAGUGGUUGUUUCUCAUCUUUCAAAAAUUCUAAAACAUGGAGAAAAGACAGGCCUUUCAAUAAGUGGUGCUCGGAAAACUGGACAGCUUCAUGUGAAAGAGUGAAAUUAGAACAUUCUUUAAUACCAUACACAAAAAUAACCUCAAAAUGAAUUAAAGACAUAAAUAUAAGACUGGAUACUAUAAAACUCUGAGAGGAAAACACAGAAUACUCUUUGACAUAAAUGGCAGCAGUAUCUGUUUGGAUCCACCUCCCAAGGUAAUGAAAGUAAAAAUAAACAAAUGAAACCUAAUUAAACGUAAAAGCUUUUGCACAACAAAGAAAACCAUUUUUUAAAAAAUGAAAAGACAAUCCACAGAUUGGGAGAAAAUCUUUGGAAACAAGGUGACCUACAAGGAAUUAAUCUCCAAAAUAGACAAACAUCUCAAACAGCUUUAUAUCAAAAAAACCCAACCCAAUUAAAAAAUGGUUGGGAAAAGGAUCAGGAUGGCAGAGGAGUAAGAUGUGGCACUCCCAUUCUCCCACAAAAAUAGUAAUAACCUGGAGUUCCGUCAUGGCGCAGUGGAAACAAAUGUGACUAGGGACCAUGAGGUUGCAGGUUUGAUCCUUGGCCUUGCUCAGAGGGUUAAGAAUCUGGCAUUGCUCACAGAUUCGGAUCAGACCUGGCAUUGGUAUGGCUCUGGCAUAGGCCGGCAGCUACAGUUCCAAUUGGACCCCUAGCCUGGGAACUUCCAUAUGUGGCAGGUGCAGCCCUAAAAGGACAAAAAAAAAAAAAAUCUACAUGUAGAAUGAUUCACACAGAACAUCUACUGAAUGCUGGCAGAAGAAUUUAAACCUCCAAAAAGGGCAAGAACCUUCCACACAACUGAGUAGAACAAAAGGAAAAAAGAGAGAGAGAGAAAUGUAAUCAGGAUGGGACUAGCACCCCUGAGAGGGAGCUGUUAAAGAGGAAAGGAAUCCAUACCGUGGGAAGCCCCCUAACCAACAGGGAGAUCAGCCAAGACAGAGGGACUUCAAAGUCUCAAAGAAAAGUACAGCAACUGAACUGAGGAGGGCAAAGCAUAGUGAGAGCCACACAGACCACCUCCCCAGACACCACAGACUGAGAUGCUCAAGCAGGGGCUGGGGGCAGAAAUGCAGGCUCUGGAGGUCAGUUCCAAGGGGAGGACUGGGGUUUCACUGAGGGGAGACAGCCUGAGGGGCUAGGGAGCAGUGUGCUAUGGGCUUGGGAAACAUACAUCAGAGCCAAGGGAACCCAGAAGGAGGUCUGGGCCCAGAGGAGAAGUAAGGUGACAUUUUGGGGGAGGGGAGUGGAAGAGGGGUAGACUGCCAUAGGAAUCUAUUUCCCUGUGCAUGGUGGACUCUCAGAGGGUGGGGAGACUCUGGCACAGUCUACAGGUGGUGAGGCACAACUUGCUUGGGCUGUGGGAGAUGGAGCACCUCUUGUGUAGGCUACAGGUGGCUUGGCACCUCUUGUGUGGGCUAAGGACAUCAGGGGUGCUAAGUGCAAUGUGGAACCUCUUGUGGGAUCUACAGACAGCAGGGACAAACCACAGCAGUCAUCCCAGAAAUCAGAGGGGUACAUGGCCUGCUACCACUAGGGGUCUGUGAACAGGUAACACUUGCGGCCCCAAUCACCUCAGAAGCCACCCCGGAGGAGGGCACUGCAGCCAAACACCACCUGUUAUUUCUCUCACCUCUCCCGCCCCCCCGGGAACUUACACACCCUGCUGCUGCCACUGCCAAAUGCUCCAGGCACCACCUAAUCUGUCUGAGGCUUAUUACCACUUCCCAGGGCCCUGCAACUAGGAGUAGCCUAAGCCACCUUCCCAUGGAUCCUUGCUAUUAUCAAGAGUCCAGUAACCAGGCACUGACUACUAGCCCUGCCCAUUGCCUCCUUCUCCCUGGAAACACAUGCAGCACCCUAUAAAGGGGAUAACAGCCUGCUCACACUGAGGAAAGAGAAAGCAAAUAUUCAAACACCCAUGCCAAAAAUAAAGAGUAAGCGCCCAGAAAACACAAAGGGGUGCUUUUGCAUAUAAAUAGGUCUCUAAGACUACAGUAGUUGAUUUUCCUAAACUCACAGAAUAAGAAAAAUAUAAGCAAAAUUUAAGAAGUUCAGGAACCAUUCUCAGUUAAAAGAACAGAAGAAUUCACCUAAAGCAGCAAUUCACUCUGACAGACAUUGAGUUCAAAAAGGAGACAGUGAAAAUACUGAAGGAAUUAAGGGUGAAUAUGAAGGAAUUAAGAGUGGAUAUAAAUAGUAAUGCAGAUUACCUUGGAAAGGAAAUAGAAAAUGUAAGGAGGAGAAAAGAAAAUUUAGAAAAUUCAUUUGCAGAGAUGCAAACUGACUUAAAUGCACUAAAGAGCAGAAUGAAUAAUGCAGAUGAACGAAUUAGUGACUCGUAAGAUAGAAUCAUGGAAAUUACCCAAUCAGGACAGCAGACAGAAAACCAAAUGAAAAAACAUGAAAGCAAUAUAUGAGAUCUAUGGGAUAAUAUAAAGCAGGCCAAUCUUCAUAUAAUAGGGAUUCCAGAAGGAAAAGAAAAAGAAAAGAGGAUUGAAAGUAUAUUUGAAGAAAUUAUGGCUGAAACUUUCCAAAUCUAAAGGAAAAAGAUAUCAAGAUACAGGAAGUAGGAGAUCCCAAAAAGUGAACCCAAACAGGCCCACACCAAGACAUAUUAUAAUAAAAAUGGCAAAAGUUAAAUAUAAAGAGAAUUAUAAAGGCUAGCAGCUGAUUUCUCUGUAGAAACACUACAGGACAGAAGAGAGUGGCAAAAUAUAUUCAAAGUUCUAAAAGGGAAAAAUUUGCAUCCUAGAAUAUCCUACCCAGCAAGAAUAUCAUUUAAAAUAGAAGGAGAAAUAAAGAAUUUCUCCAACAGACAAAAAUAAAAAUAUUACAGCAAUACUAAACCCAUUCUAAAAGAAAUAUGGAAAGGUCUUGUCUAAGUAAAAAAGUAAGAAGAAAUAGGAUGAAGGAAAUUACAAUUGGAAAGCAAUCACUUAA
Molecule: long non-coding RNA, 5520 nt
Filed under: Sus scrofa (pig)
Lineage: Eukaryota; Metazoa; Chordata; Mammalia; Artiodactyla; Suidae
Description: lncRNA (ENSSSCG00000053600.1, ENSSSCG00085013482.1)
Source: RNAcentral